UACCGAGUUGAUCCUUGAAGUAGUCAUUUGCUUGUCUCACAGAUUAAGCCAUGCAUGUCUAAGUGCACGCCUUCAUACCGUGAAACCACGAAUGCCCCAUUAAAUCAGCUAUUGUUUAUUGGAUCAUACCCGUUAAAUGGAACUAAUACAUGCCCCGAAGCCCUGACCUGCGAAGAAAUAAGUGCACUUAUUUGAUCAGAAGCCUACCAGGUAGUGUUCUUCUGCCUUCGGGUGGAAGCUCCGCUGCCUGUUGUCCUUCUGGUGACAAUGGACAAUUUUUACAGAUCGCAGUGGGCAUUGCGUCGACGACGGGUCCUUCAAAUAUCUGCCCUUUCAACUUUCGCUGGUAGGUAACCUGCAUACCAUGGUGAUAACGGGUAACGGGGAAUUAGGGUUCGAUUCCAGAGAUGGAGCAUGAAAAAACGGAUACCACUUCCAAGGGAGGCAGCAUGCGCACAAAUUACCCACUCCAAGUACGGGGAGGUGGUGACGAAAAAUACCGAUGCAGGACUCUUAUUGAGGCUCCGUAAUCGGAAUG
Molecule: non-coding RNA, 538 nt
Filed under: Schistocephalus solidus
Lineage: Eukaryota; Metazoa; Platyhelminthes; Cestoda; Diphyllobothriidea; Diphyllobothriidae
Description: Eukaryotic small subunit ribosomal RNA
Rfam family: Eukaryotic small subunit ribosomal RNA
Source: Rfam by way of RNAcentral